RNAcentral lists this transfer RNA (73 nucleotides) under Bifiguratus adelaidae. It matches the Rfam family "tRNA". From Rfam's summary of the family: Transfer RNA (tRNA) molecules are approximately 80 nucleotides in length. Lineage: Eukaryota; Fungi; Mucoromycota; Endogonomycetes; Endogonales. The record is from Rfam by way of RNAcentral.
GCUCCUGUAGCUUAGUCGGUAGAGCGUGGUGCUAAUAACGCCAAGGUCACAGGUUCGAUCCCUGUCGGGAGCA